AUACGUAGGUGACAAGCGUUAUCCGGAUUUACUGGGCGUAAAGGGCGUGUAGGCGGUCUUGCAAGUCAGAAGUGAAAUUCCUGAGCUCAACUCGGGCGCUGCUUCUGAAACUGCAGGACUUGAGUGCUGGAGGGGAUAGCGGAAUUCCUAGUGGAGCGGUAAAAUGCGCAGAUAUUAGGAGGAACACCGGUGGCGAAGGCGGCUAUCUGGACAGUAACUGACGCUGAGGCGCGAAAGCACGGGGAGCAAACAGGAUUAGAUACCCUGGUAGUCCGUGCCGUAAACGAUGAAUACUAGGUGUAGGGGGUAUCGACUCCCUCUGUGCCGCAGUUAACACAUUAAGUAUUCCACCUGGGGAGUACGGCCGCGAGGUUGAAACUCAAAGGAAUUGACGGGG
Molecule: ribosomal RNA, 397 nt
Filed under: uncultured bacterium
Lineage: Bacteria
Description: partial 16S ribosomal RNA
Rfam family: Bacterial small subunit ribosomal RNA
Source: RNAcentral